RNAcentral lists this ribosomal RNA (307 nucleotides) under uncultured bacterium. RNAcentral describes it as "partial 16S ribosomal RNA". It matches the Rfam family "Bacterial small subunit ribosomal RNA", at positions 506 to 807 of the family's 1533-position model. The record is from RNAcentral.
AGACAGCAGCCGCCACGGUAAUACGGAGGGAGCUAGCGUUGUUCGGAAUUACUGGGCGUAAAGCGCGCGUAGGCGGUUACUCAAGUCAGAGGUGAAAGCCCGGGGCUCAACCCCGGAACUGCCUUUGAAACUAGGUGACUAGAAUCUUGGAGAGGUCAGUGGAAUUCCGAGUGUAGAGGUGAAAUUCGUAGAUAUUCGGAAGAACACCAGUGGCGAAGGCGACUGACUGGACAAGUAUUGACGCUGAGGUGCGAAAGCGUGGGGAGCAAACAGGAUUAGAUACCCCCGUAGUCCCUGUCUCUUAUAC